UUAAAGAUUUUAAAAGGGUAUAAAAUUGUUUUAAAAAUAUUUUAAAAUAUUUACAAGGGGUUUUAAAAGGGUUUUAAAAGAUUUACAAUGAACUUUAAAAGGGAUUUCAAAUAUUUACAAGGGAUUUUAAAGAGUUUUAAAAGAUUUACAAAAGUUUUUAAAUUUUUUUUAAAGGGUUUAAAAGUGUUUUAAAAGAUUUACAAAUGAUUUUAAAAGAGUUUUAAAAGAUUUACAAGAGAUUUUUAAAGGGUUUAAAAGGAUUUUAAAAGGGUUUAAAAGGGUUUUAAAAGAUUUUUAAAGAAUUUACAAGAAGACCCUUUAAAAACUCUCGUAAAUCUUUUUAAAACCUUUUAAAAUCCCUUGUAAAUCUUUUAAACCCUUUUAAAAUUUCUUGUAAAUAUUUUAAAAACCCUUUUAAAAUUCCAUGUAAAUCUUUUAAAACCCUUUUAAAAUCUCUUAUAAAUCUUUUUAAAUCCUUUUAAAAUUCCUUGUAAAUAUUUUAGUACCCUUUUAAAAUCCAUUGUAAAUCUUUUAAAACCCUUUUAAAAUCUCUUGUUAAUCUAUUUCCCGCAAAAACAAAUUUGCAAGGAAUUUUAAAAGCAUUUUUUGGCGGAAAAAAAUAUUUGUUACGAAAAACAAUUUGGCGAGAUUUUUUUUUUUGGCCGGAAAUAGUUUGACGGAAAUUUUUUUUUUUGGCGAGAAAAAUAAAUUUGGUGGGAAAAUUUUAGUUUCCAAUUACAUGUUCAUAUUAAAUAAGGAUAAUUUGGUCAUUUUGUUCAAGAGAAUGUAUUUUUAAAAAUGGACAACAUAAAGAGGUAUUGUUUAAAAGUGGUAGUAAAAAAAGGAUAGUUUUGUAAAUCUCCCAAUUAUUAAUAUAAAAGAUAUAAUGUUUCGAAACAAAGUUUAUACAACAAUGAUUUCACAUUAAGCAAUUUAACACACAUUAAAAUUAACAUUUCAAUAAUAAUUAUAUACAUGAACACACAAGUUUUUUUCUGUUUUUUUUUCUAAUUUAUAUAUAAUUUCGUAGUAACAUGUGAAGUUAUUGCUUUUCUAUAUUUGUUCAGACAUAUUUUUUUUUAAAAUAUAUGUUUUCUAUUUUUUUAUGAAGUUUUAUCAUUAUGGGAAAUUAUUGUUAAUAUUGAGGCCUAUAAUAU
This 1157-nucleotide small RNA is filed under the name Arabidopsis thaliana (thale cress). RNAcentral describes it as "ATSL183500". The record is from RNAcentral. Lineage: Eukaryota; Viridiplantae; Streptophyta; Magnoliopsida; Brassicales; Brassicaceae.